Molecule: ribosomal RNA, 466 nt
Filed under: uncultured Ralstonia sp.
Lineage: Bacteria; Pseudomonadati; Pseudomonadota; Betaproteobacteria; Burkholderiales; Burkholderiaceae
Description: bacterial SSU rRNA
Rfam family: Bacterial small subunit ribosomal RNA
Source: RNAcentral
CCUACGGGAGGCAGCAGUGGGGAAUUUUGGACAAUGGGCGAAAGCCUGAUCCAGCAAUGCCGCGUGUGUGAAGAAGGCCUUCGGGUUGUAAAGCACUUUUGUCCGGAAAGAAAUGGCUCUGGUUAAUACCUGGGGUCGAUGACGGUACCGGAAGAAUAAGGACCGGCUAACUACGUGCCAGCAGCCGCGGUAAUACGUAGGGUCCAAGCGUUAAUCGGAAUUACUGGGCGUAAAGCGUGCGCAGGCGGUUGUGCAAGACCGAUGUGAAAUCCCCGAGCUUAACUUGGGAAUUGCAUUGGUGACUGCACGGCUAGAGUGUGUCAGAGGGGGGUAGAAUUCCACGUGUAGCAGUGAAAUGCGUAGAGAUGUGGAGGAAUACCGAUGGCGAAGGCAGCCCCCUGGGAUAACACUGACGCUCAUGCACGAAAGCGUGGGGAGCAAACAGGAUUAGAUACCCUGGUAGUCC